GACGAACGCUGGCGGCGUGCCUAAUACAUGCAAGUAGAACGCUGAAGGAGGAGCUUGCUUCUCUGGAUGAGGUGCGAACGGGUGAGUAACGCGUAGGUAACCUGCCUGGUAGCGGGGGAUAACUAUUGGAAACGAUAGCUAAUACCGCAUAAUAGUAGAUGUUGCAUGACAUUUGCUUAAAAGGUGCAAUUGCAUCACUACCAGAUGGACCUGCGUUGUAUUAGCUAGUUGGUGGGGUAACGGCUCACCAAGGCGACGAUACAUAGCCGACCUGAGAGGGUGAUCGGCCACACUGGGACUGAGACACGGCCCAGACUCCUACGGGAGGCAGCAGUAGGGAAUCUUCGGCAAUGGACGGAAGUCUGACCGAGCAACGCCGCGUGAGUGAAGAAGGUUUUCGGAUCGUAAAGCUCUGUUGUAAGAGAAGAACGAGUGUGAGAGUGGAAAGUUCACACUGUGACGGUAUCUUACCAGAAAGGGACGGCUAACUACGUG
This 495-nucleotide ribosomal RNA is filed under the name uncultured bacterium. RNAcentral describes it as "partial 16S ribosomal RNA". It matches the Rfam family "Bacterial small subunit ribosomal RNA", at positions 28 to 507 of the family's 1533-position model. The record is from RNAcentral.